UACGGAGGGUGCAAGCGUUAAUCGGAAUAACUGGGCGUAAAGCGCACGCAGGCGGUUGGACAAGUCAGAUGUGAAAUCCCCGGGCUCAACCUGGGAACUGCAUUUGAAACUGGCCGACUAGAGUCUUGUAGAGGGGGGUAGAAUUCCAGGUGUAGCGGUGAAAUGCGUAGAGAUCUGGAGGAAUACCGGUGGCGAAGGCGGCCCCCUGGACAAAGACUGACGCUCAGGUGCGAAAGCGUGGGGAGCAAACAGG
This 253-nucleotide ribosomal RNA is filed under the name uncultured bacterium. Its description in RNAcentral is "partial 16S ribosomal RNA". It matches the Rfam family "Bacterial small subunit ribosomal RNA", at positions 524 to 776 of the family's 1533-position model. The record is from RNAcentral.